Molecule: ribosomal RNA, 2904 nt
Filed under: Escherichia coli
Lineage: Bacteria; Pseudomonadati; Pseudomonadota; Gammaproteobacteria; Enterobacterales; Enterobacteriaceae
Description: bacterial LSU rRNA
Rfam family: Bacterial large subunit ribosomal RNA
Source: RNAcentral
UUAAGCGACUAAGCGUACACGGUGGAUGCCCUGGCAGUCAGAGGCGAUGAAGGACGUGCUAAUCUGCGAUAAGCGUCGGUAAGGUGAUAUGAACCGUUAUAACCGGCGAUUUCCGAAUGGGGAAACCCAGUGUGAUUCGUCACACUAUCAUUAACUGAAUCCAUAGGUUAAUGAGGCGAACCGGGGGAACUGAAACAUCUAAGUACCCCGAGGAAAAGAAAUCAACCGAGAUUCCCCCAGUAGCGGCGAGCGAACGGGGAGCAGCCCAGAGCCUGAAUCAGUGUGUGUGUUAGUGGAAGCGUCUGGAAAGGCGCGCGAUACAGGGUGACAGCCCCGUACACAAAAAUGCACAUAUUGUGAGCUCGAUGAGUAGGGCGGGACACGUGGUAUCCUGUCUGAAUAUGGGGGGACCAUCCUCCAAGGCUAAAUACUCCUGACUGACCGAUAGUGAACCAGUACCGUGAGGGAAAGGCGAAAAGAACCCCGGCGAGGGGAGUGAAAAAGAACCUGAAACCGUGUACGUACAAGCAGUGGGAGCACGCUUAGGCGUGUGACUGCGUACCUUUUGUAUAAUGGGUCAGCGACUUAUAUUCUGUAGCAAGGUUAACCGAAUAGGGGAGCCGAAGGGAAACCGAGUCUUAACUGGGCGUUAAGUUGCAGGGUAUAGACCCGAAACCCGGUGAUCUAGCCAUGGGCAGGUUGAAGGUUGGGUAACACUAACUGGAGGACCGAACCGACUAAUGUUGAAAAAUUAGCGGAUGACUUGUGGCUGGGGGUGAAAGGCCAAUCAAACCGGGAGAUAGCUGGUUCUCCCCGAAAGCUAUUUAGGUAGCGCCUCGUGAAUUCAUCUCCGGGGGUAGAGCACUGUUUCGGCAAGGGGGUCAUCCCGACUUACCAACCCGAUGCAAACUGCGAAUACCGGAGAAUGUUAUCACGGGAGACACACGGCGGGUGCUAACGUCCGUCGUGAAGAGGGAAACAACCCAGACCGCCAGCUAAGGUCCCAAAGUCAUGGUUAAGUGGGAAACGAUGUGGGAAGGCCCAGACAGCCAGGAUGUUGGCUUAGAAGCAGCCAUCAUUUAAAGAAAGCGUAAUAGCUCACUGGUCGAGUCGGCCUGCGCGGAAGAUGUAACGGGGCUAAACCAUGCACCGAAGCUGCGGCAGCGACGCUGAUGCGUUGUUGGGUAGGGGAGCGUUCUGUAAGCCUGCGAAGGUGUGCUGUGAGGCAUGCUGGAGGUAUCAGAAGUGCGAAUGCUGACAUAAGUAACGAUAAAGCGGGUGAAAAGCCCGCUCGCCGGAAGACCAAGGGUUCCUGUCCAACGUUAAUCGGGGCAGGGUGAGUCGACCCCUAAGGCGAGGCCGAAAGGCGUAGUCGAUGGGAAACAGGUUAAUAUUCCUGUACUUGGUGUUACUGCGAAGGGGGGACGGAGAAGGCUAUGUUGGCCGGGCGACGGUUGUCCCGGUUUAAGCGUGUAGGCUGGUUUUCCAGGCAAAUCCGGAAAAUCAAGGCUGAGGCGUGAUGACGAGGCACUACGGUGCUGAAGCAACAAAUGCCCUGCUUCCAGGAAAAGCCUCUAAGCAUCAGGUAACAUCAAAUCGUACCCCAAACCGACACAGGUGGUCAGGUAGAGAAUACCAAGGCGCUUGAGAGAACUCGGGUGAAGGAACUAGGCAAAAUGGUGCCGUAACUUCGGGAGAAGGCACGCUGAUAUGUAGGUGAAGUCCCUCGCGGAUGGAGCUGAAAUCAGUCGAAGAUACCAGCUGGCUGCAACUGUUUAUUAAAAACACAGCACUGUGCAAACACGAAAGUGGACGUAUACGGUGUGACGCCUGCCCGGUGCCGGAAGGUUAAUUGAUGGGGUUAGCCGCAAGGCGAAGCUCUUGAUCGAAGCCCCGGUAAACGGCGGCCGUAACUAUAACGGUCCUAAGGUAGCGAAAUUCCUUGUCGGGUAAGUUCCGACCUGCACGAAUGGCGUAAUGAUGGCCAGGCUGUCUCCACCCGAGACUCAGUGAAAUUGAACUCGCUGUGAAGAUGCAGUGUACCCGCGGCAAGACGGAAAGACCCCGUGAACCUUUACUAUAGCUUGACACUGAACAUUGAGCCUUGAUGUGUAGGAUAGGUGGGAGGCUUAGAAGUGUGGACGCCAGUCUGCAUGGAGCCGACCUUGAAAUACCACCCUUUAAUGUUUGAUGUUCUAACGUUGACCCGUAAUCCGGGUUGCGGACAGUGUCUGGUGGGUAGUUUGACUGGGGCGGUCUCCUCCUAAAGAGUAACGGAGGAGCACGAAGGUUGGCUAAUCCUGGUCGGACAUCAGGAGGUUAGUGCAAUGGCAUAAGCCAGCUUGACUGCGAGCGUGACGGCGCGAGCAGGUGCGAAAGCAGGUCAUAGUGAUCCGGUGGUUCUGAAUGGAAGGGCCAUCGCUCAACGGAUAAAAGGUACUCCGGGGAUAACAGGCUGAUACCGCCCAAGAGUUCAUAUCGACGGCGGUGUUUGGCACCUCGAUGUCGGCUCAUCACAUCCUGGGGCUGAAGUAGGUCCCAAGGGUAUGGCUGUUCGCCAUUUAAAGUGGUACGCGAGCUGGGUUUAGAACGUCGUGAGACAGUUCGGUCCCUAUCUGCCGUGGGCGCUGGAGAACUGAGGGGGGCUGCUCCUAGUACGAGAGGACCGGAGUGGACGCAUCACUGGUGUUCGGGUUGUCAUGCCAAUGGCACUGCCCGGUAGCUAAAUGCGGAAGAGAUAAGUGCUGAAAGCAUCUAAGCACGAAACUUGCCCCGAGAUGAGUUCUCCCUGACUCCUUGAGAGUCCUGAAGGAACGUUGAAGACGACGACGUUGAUAGGCCGGGUGUGUAAGCGCAGCGAUGCGUUGAGCUAACCGGUACUAAUGAACCGUGAGGCUUAACCUU